Molecule: ribosomal RNA, 391 nt
Filed under: uncultured bacterium
Lineage: Bacteria
Description: bacterial SSU rRNA
Rfam family: Bacterial small subunit ribosomal RNA
Source: RNAcentral
GACGAACGCUGGCGGCGUGCUUAACACAUGCAAGUCGAGCGGAAAGGCCCUUUCGGGGGUACUCGAGCGGCGAACGGGUGAGUAACACGUGAGUAAUCUGCCCUUGGCUUUGGGAUAACUACCGGAAACGGUGGCUAAUACCGGAUACGACGCACUCAGGCAUCUGAUGUGUGUGGAAAGUUUUUUCGGCCAGGGAUGUGCUCGCGGCCUAUCAGCUUGUUGGUGGGGUAAUGGCCUACCAAGGCUUCGACGGGUAGCCGGCCUGAGAGGGUGACCGGCCACACUGGGACUGAGACACGGCCCAGACUCCUACGGGAGGCAGCAGUGGGGAAUAUUGGACAAUGGGCGGAAGCCUGAUCCAGCAACGCCGCGUGAGGGAUGACGGCCUCGG